This 520-nucleotide ribosomal RNA is filed under the name uncultured Glomus. RNAcentral's name for it is "SSU rRNA". It matches the Rfam family "Eukaryotic small subunit ribosomal RNA", at positions 569 to 1091 of the family's 1831-position model. Lineage: Eukaryota; Fungi; Glomeromycota; Glomeromycetes; Glomerales; Glomeraceae. The record is from RNAcentral.
AGCAGCCGCGGUAAUUCCAGCUCCAAUAGCGUAUAUUAAAGUUGUUGCAGUUAAAAAGCUCGUAGUUGUAUUUCGGGGUUAGUAGGUUGGUCAUGCCUCUGGUAUGUACUGGUCUCACUGAUUCCUUCUUCCUGAUGAGCCGUAAUGCCAUUAAUUUGGUGUUGCGGGGAAACUGGACUGUUACUUUGAAAAAAUUAGAGUGUUUAAAGCAGGCUAACGCUUGAAUACAUUAGCAUGGAAUAAUGAAAUAGGACGUUCGAUCCUAUUUUGUUGGUUUCUAGGAUUGACGUAAUGAUUAAUAGGGAUAGUUGGGGGCAUUAGUAUUCAAUUGUCAGAGGUGAAAUUCUUGGAUUUAUUGAAGACUAACUACUGCGAAAGCAUUUGCCAAGGAUGUUUUCAUUAAUCAAGAACGAAAGUUAGGGGAUCGAAGACGAUCAGAUACCGUCGUAGUCUUAACCAUAAACUAUGCCGACUAGGAAUCGGAUGAUGUUAAUUUUUAAUGACUCAUUCGGCGCCUUAC